RNAcentral lists this ribosomal RNA (253 nucleotides) under uncultured bacterium. RNAcentral describes it as "partial 16S ribosomal RNA". It matches the Rfam family "Bacterial small subunit ribosomal RNA", at positions 524 to 776 of the family's 1533-position model. The record is from RNAcentral.
UACGGAGGGUGCGAGCGUUGUCCGGAAUCAUUGGGCGUAAAGAGCGUGUAGGCGGCCGUACAGGUCAGCUGUGAAAACUCGAGGCUCAACCUCGAGACGUCGGUUGAAACCGUACGGCUAGAGUCCGGAAGAGGAGAGUGGAAUUCCCGGUGUAGCGGUGAAAUGCGCAGAUAUCGGGAAGAACACCCGUGGCGAAGGCGGCUCUCUGGGACGGUACUGACGCUGAGACGCGAAAGCGUGGGGAGCGAACAGG